UAUAAAGGGGAGUUCCCCUAUGCAAGCUCUCAUUUCUGCUGCCGUUUAAGAUGUGCCUUUGCCUCUCCUUUGCCUUCCAACAUGAUUGUGAGGCCUCCCCAGCCAUGUGGAACUGUGAGUCCAUUAAAUCUCUUUCCUUUAUAAAUUAUCCAGUCUCCGGUAUGUCUUUAUUAGCAGGAUCAACAUGAACUAAUACAACAAGUAAAUGAGAAUAUAGACUAAGAAAAUUCAAACAGAUUAAACUCACAGACUUCAAAACCUUGUUCCACUGGCAGGAAACUGAAGUCAACAAAACAUUGUGGAUAGCAAAGCUGGGUCCAGAGAAUCCUCACAUGAUAUAAAACUGCCUGCUAAACUGGAACAAACCAUCACUGAACUUGUUAUAUGAGAAAACUAAGGUCCAGAGAGAUUAAACAACUUGCCCAAAGUUACACGCAUACUAAAUGGAAAAACUGAGACUUAGACACAGGUCAUCUGGCGAGCACCCCGGUAUUUCUCCCGCACAUUAAUUUCCUUGGAGUCCACUUCACACGAGCCCAACUGGCAGACAUUCUCUCUUUUUUUCUCUUUAUAGAACUAUAAAACUGUGUUAUUUGAGUUAUACAUUACCAUAAUGGAUGCGGUAAUAGUGCUUUGUCAGCUGUAUCUCCCUGUUGGCUGUCUCUGCUUUUGCCUUGAGGAGCUAUUAUUGUACUGUAGCAAAUGUUAAGAAAAAGAGUAGACUUCUAUCUUAUUUAUUAACAAUGGUGAGUAAUUAUAUCUUAAAACAUUUGUCCACUCCAUUUACCCUCCAUAACAUAGUUUCUUGCCAAGAAGACAUUAUUUAAGAGAAAUUGAAAGAACAUAUGCAUUGUGCACUGCCCCAGUAUCACCAUCACCUCCACCUCUACUUCCUGGGUAAUCCUGUGUGCUGAAUUACUCACUUUCUAACCCAGCUCUUCAUUUUUCAGCAAAGAAGAAUUGUGUUUAUAAGAUGUGUGAAAAGAGAAGAAAGAUGUUUGUCAGUAGGUUGGUUUACUCUGUGAAAGUAAGUGUCCUUAGGACGCAUCACUUCUGUUGUAAGAGUCUUAAUGGGAAUAAGCUUUAAGUGGAACCAAACAACUUCAAAUGCCCUGUUAUUUAUC
RNAcentral lists this long non-coding RNA (1124 nucleotides) under Homo sapiens (human). RNAcentral describes it as "HSALNT0210039". The record is from RNAcentral. Lineage: Eukaryota; Metazoa; Chordata; Mammalia; Primates; Hominidae.